GGUAUAUCACUACCACCGCAUUUCAAAGCAGACGAAACAACUGCCGGUCGCGGGCGUUUAAACAAACCAUGGCUAGUUUACGCAAAAUACUGAGGUGCGAAGCCAGUCAGCUGUUGAGGAAAAACGCUGUAAGAUGUGUUCUUUCUCGGCUACAGGCAGGGUACAGCUCGUCUGCCGAUACAGAAUAUGCCAUAGAAAUGGCCUGCUCCAACAUAAGAUAUGGCGCUGGCGCCACAAAAGAAGUGGGCAUGGU
Long non-coding RNA from Mercenaria mercenaria, 253 nucleotides. RefSeq lists it as uncharacterized. The record is from RefSeq and is a predicted model, not a curated record. NCBI's taxonomy places the organism in Eukaryota, Metazoa, Mollusca, Bivalvia, Venerida, Veneridae. The transcript is spliced from 3 exons.